Long non-coding RNA from Rhipicephalus sanguineus (brown dog tick), 1365 nucleotides. RefSeq lists it as uncharacterized. NCBI's taxonomy places the organism in Eukaryota, Metazoa, Arthropoda, Arachnida, Ixodida, Ixodidae. The record is from RefSeq and is a predicted model, not a curated record. The transcript is spliced from 2 exons.
CCACGGUGGUCUAGUGGUUAUGGCGCUCGACUACUGACCCGAAGGUCGCGGGAUCGAAUCCCGGCCGCGGCGGCUGCAUUUUCGAUGGAGGCGAAAAUGUCUGAGGCCCGUGUACUUAGAUUUAGGUGCACGUUAAAGAACCCCAGGUGGUCGAAAUUUCCGGAGCCCUCCACUACGGCGUCUCUCAUAAUCAUAUCGUGGUUUUGGGACGUUAAACCCCAGAUAUUAUUAGCAGCAUAUUCCUUUUUUUUUUUAAAUUUUCAAUUCAUAUAGUCACCAGCUUACAAACCUUGUGGAAGAUAUUUCAACUGGAAAUUCAGAUAAAAGCAUGGUGUUCAAUGCAAAAUAAUUAUGGCAUUGUUAACCACCUCCUUCAUUUGUUAUUCUUUUAUAUGGCAACAACUUUCUUUUUUUCUACAUGUCUGCAUAUCUGCUGCCACAUGCCAAAAUCGCUUUUUAUAUUUUUAUUCUGUUUUUCACUUAUUUUACCAUCCUAAAUUUUAAACUAGGUGCUUCUACAAUUUAAUCGUGUUUUUAGGCCUCUUUUCUGAAAUCAGUUCCUGUGGUUCACCUUGUUCUCCACCUUUUAAGUACGCACGUGCGUGUUUGUAUUCAGUGCACCCAGUGAAUACUAAAGCAACAUAUACAUGCAGUAAAAAAUUGAGGCAUCUUGAACAAUGCUUAAAACCUUAGCAUAUGCUAUAAUCGUUGAGAGCAUGCCAUGCUGCCAAAAGUACCAUUUAAAGUGCUCAUUAAGGUUCCUUUUUGUUUCAUAGUUAUGGACACAUGCAGCGACUUGAAAAGUAGUUUAAACUAGUUGUUUAACUAAUAUGUUAGCUGUUGCCCAUCACUAGCUAGGAUAUAGAUGUCUUACUGCAGGUACAGGCAAACAAUGUUUAGGGGAGAUAUGUUCCAUAUCAUAUUUACCAGUAGCAUGCUUGAUAGGAAUUUAAGAAAUACUGUUUAACCACCUGGAUAUUAGCCACAGCAGCUGUAGUUAUGAGUCAUUGACUAGCAGCUUGCUUAAGAGAAGAAUUUGUCAACUCUAGUUGGUGCAUAGGCUUGGCUUUCGUUUUUAUUGUAUUUAUUCUUUUUUAUCCUUUGACAACUUGAAGUGCACCUCUUUUGUCGACUGCAUUCCUUUCUUCAAUCUCUGAAAUCCCUUGCUUGCAGGUGUUCCUAAACAGGUGUUAGGCCAUUCAAGCAAUAAUAGCAGCAGAGCGAACCCACUUGUACCUCUUCUUUUAAAAAAAAAUUGUUGCAUGUUUGUGCAAGCUCAAUGCUUUUCGACACUGCGUUUUUAUUGUUGUGAAAAAUAAAAAGUGGCAGAGAGGCUGUUACAGCCAUGUGCUUCUGGCAUAGACA